RNAcentral lists this long non-coding RNA (864 nucleotides) under Marmota monax (woodchuck). Lineage: Eukaryota; Metazoa; Chordata; Mammalia; Rodentia; Sciuridae. The record is from RNAcentral.
AACUAUAUGCAAGAAACUGUUCUGGGAAUAGGGGAAUAAAACAAACAAAAAUUUCUGCUGUUAUAGAACUUAUUUCCUAAAGGAAAGAGAUAGUAAGAAGAAAACAUAAUAAAUCAAUGCAUUCCAUAACCAACCAGCCCAUUUUUGCAUCACAGAUGGUCAUAAUAAGAGCUAUGAAUAGAAGAGAAUAGGGAGAGCCAGGAUGUAGGUAUGGGGUAGUAAUUUGUUUAGGGUCAGCAGGGGAGACCUUUUCCAUAAGAUAGCAUUUUAGCUCUCACCUGAGAGAUGGAAACCAACCAGUCAGUAGAAACUCAUGUUAUGAGGUAGGAGUAACUGAGAUGAUUUAGGAAAUCUUGAGGAGCAGAAUGUGGUCAGAGGAGGAAGGAGAGCUGGGAGAGUUGGGAGGAGACUGGGCAGAGAGUUAAAGGGAGCCUGGGAGCCAGAUCACAGUAGCUCCUUACAGGUAAGGACUUUGUCCUUUCACCCUGAGCUAGAAAGCUGCUCAGUUCUGUCAAGAAAGGGUUUAAUUAAGAAUAUGGCAACUUUGGAAACAGGAAGACCUCUGGGAGAUUGUCACAGUAAACCAGGCAGGAUAUAAAGAUGAUGACUUGGAUCUAGGCGGUGGUAGCAACAGAAUUGGAUAAGAGGUGGUCUCAUGACUUCAGAUUCUGGCUAAGGUGGGACUAAGAAGAUUGGCUACAGAUGGGUUGUAGGCUUGAGAGAAAGGGAAGAGCAAGAAUGGCUGUGCAUGAAUGAAUAUGCAGGACACUAUGCUAAUUAAAAAAGCCAGGAGCAGAAAGACAAGGGCUCUAUGUGCUUGCUUAUGUGUGGUUGCCAGGGAGAUGAGGAGAUGUUGGUCAAAAG